GAGGCUGUUUUGAAAUGGAGAGAUAAAGAGGCUCUGGGCUCGAGGCUAGAGAGUGACUGGGAUGGGUUUCAAGGUUUUGAAUGAGGUGACAAUAGGGUUUCAGUUUUUGGAGAAAUGAUGCAGGCGUGCACUUAUGCCUCUGGGCUCGAGGGCAUCCAAAGCUGAGAGAGAGAAUGGGUGCAGCUGCUAGGGUUUUUUUUCAAAUGACAAAUGCCGUUGCUCCAUCAGUUUAUCUUGUAGUUGUUUUCGUGUUGGUCAGUGCCUCGUCUAUGCUUCCGAGGGCACAGGUUCAAACUCAGCGCCAGGCAUAUUUUCUUUCUUUUUAAUGCGCCCUUGUCUCCAGCUCCAGGUCCCGAGUCGACUCCCAGGUGUGUCCCUUUCUUUCUCUUUUCUCUUAUUUUCUGUUUUCUUUGUUAUUUUAUAUUUUCUUUUAUUUUUUUUUUCUUUCUAUUUUUUCUUUUUCUUAGGUUAUUUUCUUUCUCUUUGAUAGUAGUUUUACGUUUUAUUUUAGGAUUUCACAUUUUUGUUUCUUUUCUUUUAUUUAUUUUCCACACCUUAAGGACAAAGUGUGAAAUAAGUUUGGGGUGGAAAAUAAAAUUUUAGAAUUUUAAUUUUUGUGUCAAGUUAAAAAUUUUGCUAUCUUUUUAAGUUAAUAUCCAUAAAUUAAUUUAAACGUUAGAACAAAUGGACAUGGUGAAGAUUAAUUUCAUAGUAGAGUCUUUUUUAUUUAUCAUUACUUAGACAUUAAUUUAUGACUUAUACUUUGACAAUUUGCACAGUCACAUCAACAUGGUUUGUGGGGAGUGAGAUUGGAACACUUGCUUUUCGACUAAGUUAAUUGUUAAUUUUUGUUCUAAAUAAAGUAAAAUUAGUUAUUAUCCUAUAAAAAAGUAAUAGUUGUUCCACCCGAGGUUUUGCUUAGUAACCGGGCUAGUCUUACCUCAUCAGCAAUGAUUCUCGCGUCAAACAAUAGAGUUUUGGCAUGGGGCAUGGUGGUUAGUUGGUUUUGUAACCUUUCCAACUCGAGUUAGUAGUCCUUAGGGGUGUUCUACACCUAGUAUACUAAAGCCCUUGUGGUUUGGGAGUCAUUGACCUAAAGUUCGCUACAUGGGUUGAAUUGAAAGCUUAAGUGAACCGACAUUGCACAACCACUACUAUUACUGAAAAAGGAAAGAGAAAAAAUAAAAUAGUUAUAUUUGAAUUUAGUAUGUGUGAAAUAAAUAGACGAGAGGUAAGGGUUUUAAUCGAGUCUCAUUAUUAAUGUUGGUUCACUUUACACCAAAGGAAGUUAAUGAAUUCUUUUCUAAUUGAUUCUAAAUGGCUUCAACUCUGUGGUGGGAUUAGUUUGAACUUUUAGAAAGAUGUUCUAAUUUUUAACAUUUUCUAUGGAUUGCAACUUGGAGAUGAAAUUUUGUGUCUUAGUUUUGUUUAAGUUUCUAGUAUGUUAGUUUUUUUUUUAACGUUUUCUAUGGAUUGCAACUUGGAGGUGAGAUUGGAACACUUGCUUUUCGACUAAGUUAAUUGUUAAUUUUUGUUCUAAAUAAAUAAAGUUAGUUAUUAUCCUAUUAAAAAAAGUAAUAAUUGUUCCCCCCAAGGCUUUGCUUAGUAACCAGACCAGUCCUGCUUAAUCAGCAGUGAUUCUCGCGUCAAACGGUAGAGUUUUGGCAUGGGACAUGGUUGUUAGUUGGUUUUGUAACCUUUUCAGCUCGAGUUAGUAGUCCUUAAGGGUGUUCUACCCCUAGUGCCCAAAGCCCUUGUUGUUUGGGAGUCAUUGACCUAAAGUUCACUACAUGGGUUGAAUCGAAAGCUUAAAUGAACCGACAUUGCACGACCACUACUAUUACUGAAAAAGGAAAGAGAAAAAUAAAAUAGUUAUAUUUGAAUUUAGUAUGUGUGAAAUAAAUGGUUUGGGGGUAUUUUGAUGAGUCGAUUUCAUAUUAUAUAUUUUACCUCAUUCUUAGUAUAUUUUGGUAGAAUUUUAAUACUUUGCUUUAUAUUUUCAACAUAGUACAUUCUACUUCUUCCGGAGCGAAACAUACUCAAACGGACGAAUUUUGGAGUGAUUCAAAUUGGAAGACAUUUGUGUGUCGCUUCAUGUGUUUAUGUCAAAAUUUCAACAAUUUCUACCAAGCAAUUAUCUUCAGGUGAUGGAAUAAAAAAAAUCAUGUGCAGUGCUGGAAAAUAAUAUUUUUGGGCUUAAAUGCAAUUUUUUGAGCCCAAGAUGAUUUCAAAUGGGUUCAUGGCAUUAUGGAGAAGUGUUUAGAAUAGUCCAAGAUGUAAAUCUAGCAUUUUGGGCCAGUUUUGGAGUUGAUAUGGGUCCAAAACGUGGCUAUCAAGGAUUUGGGCAAAUUUCCAAGUUAAUUUAGGAUUAUGUUUCCUAAUUUAUUUCAAUUUAUUUGGUUUCCUAGCCUUAUUCUAAGACCUUUUACUAGGAGGAUUUAAAUAGAGUAGUAUAAAUUAACCUGUUUGGCUAGCCCUAGGGUUUUUCUUCUUUAUGCAAUUUUUGGAGAGAAGAUUUUGGGCAAAGCUUAGAGAAUUCAAGACUUAUACUUUCAAGGUGUUUUCAUUAUUUUUCUAUUUCAAUAAAGACUUCAUGAUUUUUAUUAUGAAUAUGCGUAACUAAUUCUCUUUGGUAGGGUGAUGCUAUGAUCCUUAGCAAGAAUAUAUAGUCUCUUUUUAAGUUGCUUAUGAAUUUAUGCAUGCAAGUUUGAAUUGUUAAUCACCGGUUUCAACUAUCUAUUUGUCUUAGUGAUUUGCGACCAUUAGGAUAUUUAGAAAAGUAAUUUGAUGCAAUUUUGGCAGAGGGUUGUCCCAAAAAUUGACUAAGGCUUCUUGUGAUUAAUAUGUGUAGCUUUUUAGGAUGGACGACACGUCUUAAGGAUUAUAUAGUUCAAAAGGAAAACUAAUGAAAAGAGCUUGAAAACUUUGAAUUUUAAAGAUAAGGACAAAAUAAAGGGUAAAGUGAAUAGUAUCAUGAUUGACUUUUUAGUGUAAAAAUAUGGUUUUUCGUUCAAGUGAACAGGACCGGGAGUUUUUCGUUAAAGUUCCCUUUUUCAAAAGGUUUUCACAAAACUUAAUGAGUCUUGCAUGUUCACAUUUGAUCUGGACAUCACGAACGGGUUGGAUGUUAGAUAUACGUUCUAUGUUGGAGGUUCAAAGUAGGAUAUACUCUAGGAAAACCUAACUUCAAAAUAUGCAUGUGUAAUGCAUAAGUAAUUAGAAGAACUACAAAGGGUUGUUAGGGUGACGGCGAAACCCUAGUACUUUCUCACUUUGAAUUCUAAAAAUUGUUUCCUUUUUCCUACUUUAAAAAUGCAGAUCUUAGUUAACCUUUUUAAUUAAAUUCGUUUUUUCUUAAUUUAGGUCAUUAAUUCAUCCUUUUCAAAAACUUUGCUCUAAUUAUUUAGUUGAGAAUUGAUUUCACGUUAAUCUAUUUAAAGUAAUUCCUGUGUAAAACGACCUUACUUGAGCCAACUAUACUACAACCUUGUUUCUCUUGCAAGUAUUUUAGGUGUUUUUAACCCUUUUUUGCACAG
RNAcentral lists this long non-coding RNA (3536 nucleotides) under Malus domestica (apple). Its description in RNAcentral is "long non-coding RNA (MDOM_LNC007398)". Lineage: Eukaryota; Viridiplantae; Streptophyta; Magnoliopsida; Rosales; Rosaceae. The record is from RNAcentral.